Non-coding RNA from Triticum aestivum (bread wheat), 136 nucleotides. The record is from Rfam. NCBI's taxonomy places the organism in Eukaryota, Viridiplantae, Streptophyta, Magnoliopsida, Poales, Poaceae.
GAUGUAUCUCCCUCCGUUCGAAAAUACUUGUCAUCAAAAUGGAUAAAAAAAAAUGUAUCUAGAACUAAAAUACAUCUAGAUACAUCCCAUUUUAUUUAUUUUGAUGACAAGUAUUUCCGGACGGAAGGAGUACACG